RNAcentral lists this ribosomal RNA (253 nucleotides) under uncultured bacterium. RNAcentral describes it as "partial 16S ribosomal RNA". It matches the Rfam family "Bacterial small subunit ribosomal RNA", at positions 524 to 776 of the family's 1533-position model. The record is from RNAcentral.
UACGGAGGGUGCAAGCGUUGUUCGGAAUCAUUGGGCGUAAAGCGCGUGUAGGCGGCUUUUUAAGUUUGGUGUGAAAGCCCGGGGCUUAACCCCGGAAGUGCACUGAAUACUGAUUAGCUAGAGGGUGAGAGAGGAUAGUGGAAUUCCUGGUGUAGGGGUGAAAUGCGCAGAUAUCAGGAGGAACACCAAUGGCGAAGGCAGCACUCUGGGACGUGACUGACGCUGAGACGCGAAAGCGUGGGGAGCAAACAGG